RNAcentral lists this ribosomal RNA (648 nucleotides) under Triticum aestivum (bread wheat). Its description in RNAcentral is "partial small subunit ribosomal RNA". The record is from RNAcentral. Lineage: Eukaryota; Viridiplantae; Streptophyta; Magnoliopsida; Poales; Poaceae.
AUGCACGACAGGAAGUGGAUGAAGGGGCUUGAAAGAAUCAGCUCCCAUGAUGAUCUGCACUCCUUUCUGCUUCUGUGGGAGAAGAUUCAGAGUGUCAACUUAUCUGAAACAAGAGAUACUAUUGAUUGGAUCUGGACGAAGGACAAGAAAUACACCGCCAAGUCUGCAUAUUCCUGUCAGUUCAUUGGUUCGAUUGCCAAGCCUGAGUCUGACCUGAUCUGGAGGCUCAAGAUUGAAAGAAAGGUGAGGUUUUUCCUCUGGACUUUGGUUCAAAACAGACUCCCAACCACUGACAGGCUGCGAGCCCAUGGGAGCGAUCAUAACGCGACGUGUUCUCUCUGCCUCCAACUCCCUGAAACUGCACUCCACCUCUUCAACACAUGCCUUUUUUCCAAGGAUGUUUGGAACAAGCUAUGCUUGGCACGACCCUUGCGCUACCCUUCCCUGCCUGCUAGCAUUCAGUCCAUCUCUCAUUGGUGGAGAGUUUGCUCCCAGCGCAACAACGAGCAGGCCGUUGCUGCUGCUUAUUUUGCUUGGCACAUGUGGAAUGAGAGGAACAGGAGGGUCUUCAACGCCAAGUCUACCUCAGCGGACGGCGUGGUUUCUCUGAUAAAAGCUGACUUAGAUUUCCUGAGAGUAGCGAUGUAA